CUGGCUCAAAGUUGAUGGUGUUGGAAUGAUGGGAGGAUGCUUCUUUGUGUAGCGCCAUGGUGUGGACCUCUCAUUCCUUCUCGAAAGUGGGUAACGCUCUUCCUCUAAUGCCAAUCUAUUAUUAUAGAUUUCUGACUCUGAUCGGAGUAGUUGGAGUUGACUGUGAGUCAUCGAUAUGGUGAGACCUAUAAAAUAAGUCUUGAUCGG
Molecule: long non-coding RNA, 207 nt
Filed under: Elaeis guineensis (African oil palm)
Lineage: Eukaryota; Viridiplantae; Streptophyta; Magnoliopsida; Arecales; Arecaceae
Description: long non-coding RNA (EGUI_LNC037776)
Source: RNAcentral